GGUACCUUCUUCAGAAACAACACAGGGACACCAUUCAAAGUCGCAUGCUUUGUGGCUUUGACAGGAAGUGUCUGCAGGGCGUCUGGAUGGCUCCUUCACACCACACUGACUCACUAUUGCCCAUCCAGGAACAAAGCUCUAUUACGAGAAUAGUUUGUCCAGGUGCUCAUGAUGCUUCAAGGUUUUUUGGUUUUGGCCUCAUGUUCAGCUUAAAAUGUUACUGUUGUGAUUCACACUUGGAUGCCCUCAUACAACUUGCUUUUGGUAUUAAGCUGGCGAACAGAUAGAUGGUAGAGGAUUGGGCCAAAGAAAGUAGACAUGAUGAUACAAUGAUUCCACUGUCCUUGAGUGGUCAAAGUGGUCUGUUUUUAUGUUCAGAGGCUUGCUAAAAACACCUUUAUAAUAGUUUUAACUUUAUAAAAUGAUCUUGAACCUCUAGAAUUUGUUGCUCAACUGGUGACUUUUAUACAUCGAGAAUACAUUUUGGAACAUAUUUGGAUUGAAAUCAGUGGGAAAAAAAAUGGAAUAAUUACACUGUACAUCCCCCGUCUUUUAAAUUAUUUGAAACAAAUUAUUCCCUAAAUGGAGCAAAUUAGGUUGAGGUGUUGGGUAUUGCUUUAUAAGUUUAGUACCAAUGUUUAGAUUUUUAAGGAGAAACAACACAAAAGCUGGAUAACCAGGUAAGUGCUUGGUCAAACAGCGUGUCGGAAACUGUAACUGUGUUCAGUUUUCUUUCUUGGCAAUAGAUGCCUUAAUGAUAAAUGUGUCUUUCCACUCCGGACUCUUUGGAGAACCAAAUCAUUCAGGCUAACCCGGUGCUGGAGGCAUUUGGCAAUGCCAAGACCAUCAGAAACAACAACUCCUCACGCUUUGUGUACUUAAUCAAAUUACAGUAUUCUCAGUAUUUCAUAUUGGAAACAAUUAUGUCUAAUAAACAGUUCCGUGCAAUAAUAAUGUAUUCUUGUGUCUUUUGCAUCCACUUUGGCCCAACAGCGAAACUGGCUGGCGCCGACAUUGAGACCUAUCUUUUGGAGAAAUCGAGAGUGAUUUCCCAGCAGGCUACUGAGAGAGGAUAUCGUAUCUUAUACCAGGUCUUGUCUGCUAGGAAGCUAGAACUGAUGGAGGCUCUGCUGCUGAGUCCAGACCCUGAACAAUAUGCAUGGAUGUGUCAGGGAGUAACUGUGGUGGACAACAUGGAUGAUGGUGAGGAGCUGCGGCUCACUGAUGGGACCUAUGAAACUAUGAGAUUUUAUGUGAGAAGGAAUUUGCUAUCCCACUGUUUCAUUUUACCUUGUGUUGUCGAUAAUAUUGUACACCGUUGGUGCCACUAUUGCUUGUGUGCAUGUGCGUGCAUGUUUGAUGUCAUAGUUUUCCCUCCUGAGGAAAAGAUGAGCAUGUAUAAGCUGACUGGAGGCAUAAUGCACGUUGGUAACAUGAAGUUCAAACAGAAGCCCAGAGAGGAACAAGCUGAUGUCGACUCGACUUUUAUUCUCUCUCUUUUUAACGUUCCCCUUUAUUUGAACCCUUUUGGUUUCAUGAAUAUUUUUGUAUCAUUUGUGCAUGGCUACAUCAUCUGAUACAUCCGCUCACCUUUCACGAUGCACCCCUCUCCCUUUCAAUCUCCCGUUCUCUUGCAUCUAGUUUACCAGUUUUGAGCAGUUGUGCAUCGAUUUCACCAAUGAAAAACUCCAGCAGUUCUUCAACCACCACGUUUGUACUGGAGCAAGAAGAGUACAAGAAGGAGGGUAUUGACUGGGUCUUCAUUGACUUUGGACUUGACCUGCACGCUUGCAUUGAUCUGCUCGAGAAGGUAGCACUCAUUCACUCCAUCACUCGUGUUGCAGAAAGGAAAAAGUCUCACACUGUUCGUAUGAUUUGGGAUAAAAUAAACAUAAAUGUAGUAAACUAAAAUAAACUUACCUGUUAAGGAUAACACAUUUUAUCGCUCUUCAAAAUAAUAUACUGUACAAAAAAUUCUGGUUAAAACUAAAGAGCAGGUUAGUCUGUGAUACAAUGUUUACGGCAGAUAAGGCAUUGAAAAAAAUGUGUGCAAAUACCAUUUAUAGUCGAGACAUUAGCCAGUCGUGUUUACAGUGCGUAAGCAUUGAGAAAAAACAAUAUAGAUAUAAUAAUAUAGAUCUGGUUUCCAGAUUUUCAGACACACACACACACACACACACACAAAUACAUAGUGGACAAUGUCCACGUAAAACAAAAGACCGUGACUAAGCAAAACAGUGUACCGGUAAAUCUCACUAUGCUCCUUUCUGAUUAUCUGUGGCCAACAGAAACAGUUGAACAAGCUGAUGAGCACUUUGAGAAGCACCGCUCCUCACUUUGUGCGCUGCAUCGUGCCCAACGAGGUCAAGAAGUCAGGUGUGACAGAUAACUUCCUGAUCCUUCACCAGUUGGCCUGCAAUGGCGUGCUUGAGGGCAUCCGGAUAUGCAGGAAAGGAUUCCCCAAUCGGCUGCAGUUCCCAGAAUCUAAACAGAGAUAUGAUUUAUAUGUAAAAACAGUCGGUCAAUUCUGCACUGAACUGAUGAUGGUACAAUGAAAGUUACAGUUUCACACCAAGAGGAAACAAAUCCUUUCUCCAGGGUGGCAAACACCAAAAGGAGGUGUUACGUAUAAUCAAAUCUGAAGCUCCCAAGAAUUUAUAUUGCGUGUAUUUUUCUCUUCCAUCAUCCUGUUGUGCUACCUAUAGAAACUACAUCCUUAACCCCAACAUCAUCCCGAAGGGAUUUGUUGAGAACAAAAAGUUGUAGUAAUAGUUUACUGCAAUUUACGUGGAACAAAUAUAACAAUAAUUUCUGCACAUUUUGACUCAUAAUUUUCAAUAUUUUAUCAUUCAGACUUCCAUAAAAUACAUUUGAGAUGGUUGUACCAUCCAAUUUUUGCUUCAUAUACUUAGAAUGCAUUGUUCCCCUCCCCCCCACCUUGUGUUAGUCACCUGAAUGUGAUUGUAAACAGUAUCCCCCUUAUUUCUCAACCCUUACUUUAAAUCUGCAAUUGGCUGGCAACAGUGGUACAACAAAACUGUUCCAUGAAAUCGUAUUAAUUAAUUCCCAACUGUCUAUUCUCUUGAUUUUGUAGCAUUUCUCUUGGCCGCACUGCUUCCACUACAUGUGGAUGUCGGACUUUUUGGGUCCAAUCAGAUUUCAUCCUCUAUGUGCUGCCAGAUCAGUUUAAAAUAUAAAUAUUAAAAACCUCUCAGCACGGCCUUCAGAAUCAGUAGUGCUGGUCGAUAUAACUUAAACUAUAUUAGCAAUGGGACUCUUUCUUUUACCAAUCAGAUUUCAAUUCAUUCUCACAGGGCCAGCUCGCUGGGCCACAAUAACGUCAUCCUUUUUCCGUCCUCUAAUUGGUUGGUCAGAGUAAGCCAAGUUCAACUAGCAAAGCAUCUCUGUAACACAUUUAAUAAUCAGCAUCUCUGGUCAGUAUGACGUAUUUCUUUACAUUUUCUGAUAUUGUUGUAAUGUUAUUACAUAAAUAUUGAUUCUGAACUGCUCCAGAUGAUAUACGUGGCACAGUUGCAUGCUGUUAUAUUUCACAUUUGUAUUCAUGGUUUCUAUCAUUGUGAUGUGAUAGUGGUGGUAUUAAGAGGUGGAUUAAGUCGGGUAAAUCCCUACUGUAGGCCCAGAUAUCAAAUUCACGGCCGGUGACCAGUCCAUGUUGUAGCCUGCCUUUCCCCCAAAGUCAGCUGGGAUAAACUGAAGCUCACUUGCAACCCUAAUGAGGACAACCACUAUGGAAAAUGGAUGGAUGAAAAUAAAAUAAUUAAAAUAAUAUGUGUGCGUUUUCAGGUGGAGGAAGGCAACCUGGUACGUGUGCAGCUCGAGCUGGCUCAAGUCAAAGCUGACAUCGACCGCAGAAUACACGAGAAGGGAAUAGUUUGAGGUGACUAGAAAGUAUCAUGCCCGUGCAGUGGAGUCCUUGCAGGCCAGCCAGCCUACAGGCAGAGGCCAAAGGGCGUGCUGAAGGACUGCGGAUGAAGAAAAAGACGGAAGGAGACUUGAACGAGAUGGAAAUCCUGCUGGAGCAUGCCAAAAAGGAACAACGCUGAGCGAGUUGAAACCCUCAAGAAGCUGCAGGAUUGAUUCUGGUGAAAAGUCGAGAAAAACUGAACUCUGUUUAUCAUCCUUGCGUCUGCUUUCUUCUAAAGGAACUGCAGGUGCAGAUGGAUGAAGACGCACGUCUCAUGACGAGCUGAGGACAGAGAGCCCACUUGUGUGUCGUUCCUGCAUAGAAAAGUCAAUAAACUACUUGCAACUAA
Phycodurus eques (leafy seadragon) is the source of this 4274-nucleotide long non-coding RNA. RefSeq lists it as uncharacterized. Lineage: Eukaryota; Metazoa; Chordata; Actinopteri; Syngnathiformes; Syngnathidae. The transcript has 5 exons. The record is from RefSeq and is a predicted model, not a curated record.